CCCAUCAGGGCUCAGGGAUUGGAUGGAGGUGAUGGGGGCAGGGGAUGGGUCUCACCCUCCCUUCUUCCUGGGCCCUCAG
Molecule: microRNA precursor, 79 nt
Organism: Homo sapiens (human)
Lineage: Eukaryota; Metazoa; Chordata; Mammalia; Primates; Hominidae
Source: Ensembl